UUUUUCUUUUUUUUUUUUUUUUUUUUUUUCCCCUGCCCUGGAAACACGUUACCCUUGAUGCCAUGCAAGUUCUUAAAAAAGUAAAAUUAGAAAUUAAGAACUAUGACAGUCAGGCCUGAGACUGUAGUCUCACUGGCACAUCUCUCUCAGCUGGCUGCAGGGACAGUGAAACUGAUUUCACAUUAGAGUUAUGCAAUUUAUAGGAGUAUGUUUUUGAUUUGUGUGCUAUAAUCUUCUACAAUUUUCUUAGUCAGGCACAGAACAUAUUUUUCAUCAAAGAGUCUGCAAAUUUUCAUAAUGAUUUCUUAUUUUGUAGAAACAAAAAAUGAAAAAUCUUUCCAUAUCUUUCAGUCUUAUUCUUCUGCUCUGUCCUCAUGUUCAGACAGAAGUUCUAAGAUUUGUCCACUUCCCAAUUUCUGCUGCUUAUGCCAAGGUUCAUAAUUCUAUACCAUGCAUCUUCUAUUACAUCCAGCAUAUGAUUCUAUGACCAUGACCUCCAGAUUCAAGUCUGUAGGUUUAUUUUUCAUGUUUACCAUCAUCUUCACCUGUCUGCUACAGAACCAAUAAGAAAUCAAUUUGUGUUAUUUGAUAGAGUUAAAGCCAAAUAAAAAACUGAUUUACCAGGUUAACAUUCAUCCUUACAGAAAACCAUAUAAUGGUUAAUUUUCAAAGAAGGAUUUUUUCUGUGUUUGCUUGCCAUUUAUUAUGUUCUUUGAGGCUGAGAUGGCCUUGUUUGGGCCAAAACUCACAUAAGUCUCCAGCACAGUCAAGAAUAAAACAAUCAUCCUUGACUCCUUUUCCUGUGCUUUACAAGUAUUCUGAUAUUUGUGACACCUGGCUUUCAAGUUACUUCCCUGCUCUAUCCAUACAUUUUAGUGGAUGCUUUUAUCAUUUCUCAGCUUGCUUGCUGACUUGUUGUUGUUGCUGUUUUAAAACCUCUUUACAUCAGCUGACUUUGACUUGUCAGGGUCAUGAUCUACCUAUGUCAUAUUUUAUUUUAUAACUAAGAGAGACUUUUUUUUCUCUUCUUCUGGGGCUUAUAUUCGUUAUGGAAUAACUCAGUUCAUGACAAUAUUACCUUCAUCAUUUCUUUGACAUUUCCAUCUGCAUUUGGGAGGCAUCCAAGUGUUCAUGCCAGUUGUGUUCAUUGCACAAGAAUUUUGGCAUCAAAACCACUGAUGACACUUUUUUUAAAGAAAAAAAAAGCUAAAAAAACAAAACCUAGCCAGUUUGUCAGUAGGCUUCCUUCUUCUAAUUUUCAGUUCUGGCUGUCAACCCAUAUCAUCAAAGUAGCUAGGCCUGUUGAGGAUCGAGUAGAGAGAGAAAGAAGUCAAGAAGCUUCAGAGGAAUAAAAAAAAUCAGUGGGCAAAGCUGCCCUGUCCAAAAGACUGGUCUGGAAGUUUAGAGAAGAGGGAGCUAAUUAUAUUCCUAAAAAGAAGAAAGGAGGUAUGGGUCACAGUCUGGGAGAUGGAGCACUUCCCUUCCCUUGCCUUUGUAAUCUGAAGUCUGUGGGGACAGCACAAGAGCAGAGUUGUAUUCCAAGUUACUGCAUUUUUUAAAUAUUUGUAAAUGCCCUUUGCUGAGGUUUCUGACUCUAGGCACUUCUGUUUGGCUGCCAACAGAGAUAGCUGACUACAAGGACUAUACAAUAUUUAAAGCUGUAUUGCCAAAUUCCCUUUCACCACUUUCUCUUUUCCUUCUGAAAUAAAGUGUACAAAAAUCACAGCUGUGUUGCCAAACUAUGCUGCAGUGCUUCACAGGAAAUAAUACAUAUUUUCCAUUCAAAUAACAUCCUACCACUUUUAUAAGAGUAUCUGGAACAAUAUCUCCAUUUUCUUCUGUGGAUGCAUUGGCAGCCUUUCUUGCUUAGCAGUAGUUCAUCAUCUUCAUUCCUAAGAGGGGCAUUUUCUUGAUGGCGCUUUGUGGUGUCCCUGAUGCUCAUUUGCUUUGUCCUGUGUUAGGUCACUGACACAGGAACCAGAUGUUUUGAACAAAAAAAUGCAUCAUGCAAAAACUCAGUCAUGGUAAAAUUUUACUUGCACAUUCUUAUCAUACAGUAAAUAUCAGUGAAUCAAAGUAAAGGUAGAGCUUCAUGAAAAAUCACCGGAUUCAUGUAUUAUGAUGAAAGUGAUAAAAUAUUUUAGGAUUCUGAAAUUCCUGAGAGGCUGUUCAUCUAAAAAUGUAGACUAUAGAGACCCAUAUGUGAGCUAGGCUGUUUUAUUGGUCUGCCAUUGAUGGAGACUGAUCCAGCACAGUUAAUCAGAUUUUGUAAUUGAUUUAUUUAUUCAGUCAGCUUUAUGUUGUCCUGCAAGUGUUUAUUUCUUUGUUUUCAACAGAAAAACGAUCUGUGGAAAUUACUUCUUAGAUGGCCUAUCACAUUGUAGAAUAUUGGGUUUAGGUGGCUUAGUGCUGUUCUAGUUGGUCUGAAUCUUUCUUAGGAAAUGUAAGGCUCUAUUUUUAAAAUUAGCAAACUUUUCUGCAUAGGACAUGUAUUUAUUUUUUCUAAGUACCUCAGUAUUAUCCAGGAUUUAUCAAGAAUCUCCACAUUACAUUUUCUUAGAACAGCUGAAUUUUUCCAACUUUUAAUUCUGAAGUAAUUUUUCCCAUUUGUUCUGAGGUUCUAAAUCAGACUCCAUUUUAAGGCUCAUCCCUUUCACUUGUAAAAACAUGCAAAUGAUACUUCUCAAUUGUUUUCUGAACUGAACAGUUUUAAAGAUGUUACAGCAUACUCCUUGGGCCUUUCUGUAAACUCAUGAAUCUAAAAUUCUCUUGAAUCAUCUUUUUAAUGUGGAUGUUGUUUAAAUUAAAAAAAAAAAAAAGGAGAAAGGGACAUCUGUAUGUGCAGAAUCUCUUGAAGAAUAAACAAUCAUUUGCCUUGCAGGACAGCAAAAGCAUAACUUUCAGAUGCCUUCUGCAUUUUUCUGACUACCUGAACCAAUUUACUUCCUGCAGACUGUCAUAUCAUGUUCUUAUUUCAGCUAUUGAAUGGCUCUGGGAUCUGUUUUGAAGAAGCAUUUGUAUUGUGUAUUUUGAUGUUGAAAUUGGCCUCAAACAGUGUUUAUUUCUGGAUCCUCUCACUUUGCAUACAACAUGCUCAUGAGUCCUGUUCUUAAUCACUUACUCUUUCUUCAACAUUACAAGAGAUUGCUAAUUUUCUUAGUGUUUCAUUUACUUUUCUAUGUUCCAUUUUCACUUCAGAAUCAUCAGCAGAAGACAGUAUAGAAUGACCAGUGGUUUAAGAAUACACAAUUUCAUAGAAAUAUCAACUAUAACAUCUAAAGGUUUGUCAUCUGGAGUAAAAACGCUUGUUUUGACAGGCAACAAGUUACAGGUUUCAGUUCCCAUAACACUAAACACUUUUUGAAGCUUUUCCGAUCAAAACUAGUUAUUACAUACUGUGCCAGCCUUUUGACACAGGCAAUCCACUACUCAACUGAUCUAUCCAACAAAUAUUCAUUCUUCCAAAGACAGAGAAUUUUAUUUUUUUUCCCCCUAAAACUAUAUAGUAUUUUAAAGUUCCAGUGCUGCAUCCUUCCAUUUUCAUAGCAUUACACUUUUGGUCUGGGACCUGUACGGCCCUGGAGAACAUGAGUAACUAUUCAUUCUUGAAUCCAAGUAUCUACAUUUAUAAAGUAUAUUCAAGUACACUGAUUAUAUUUAUUUGGCACUUUACUAGACAAAAGAUUUUUAGGUAUGGCAAUCAAUUAAAAGACCUGAAGUUAAGUUAUUGAUGCCCCAAUUACUUGUAGCAUUGUUAGUUGCUGGUGUCAGGCUAAAGAGAAUACCUUAUCCUUUGACAUUUGGAUUAAUUUAAAAAAAUAUCCUGGUAGAAAACUGUCACUUAACAUGACCAAAUAUCACUCAAAUAAACUCCAUCUGACCAGAUUCCUACAGCCUUGGAAGAAAUAGACAUCAACUAUAUUGAUAUAUUUGGGCUUUCACUUUUGUUUGCAUAUGUGUGCAUUUUUGUUUGUACGUGUGUUUCAUUCCCCUGCAGCUUUGGUUCAGUGGUUCUUCUAGUGCCAGCUGAUUCCUGAGGACCUCUCUGCAGCUGGAGGGAAAAUUAUCUUUGGGAGGAAUUACUAAUGGAUUAGGCAAAAUGGAAAGGAAAGCACAUGCCCGUACUAACAAGUUGUCAUCAAAGAAAAGCAGCAUUGUUCUUCUGUUUAACACUGGAGGACAGCAAUUCAAUCUAGUGUUUGUGCAAGGCAAAGAAUAGGGGAUAUACAUAUCUGGGAGCACAGGUAGGAGCUGCAAUAGAGAAGAGUGCAAUGGAAGCAGAGGACAUCUGUGGAAUGGGAGGUGGUAUCAAAGACAACUUACUGAGCGUUUCUGGUGUCAUUUCACCAUUUUUUGUUCCUGGGUAACUCACAUUUUAUUCAGGCAUUUGGUUGAGAGUGUUAUGUGUAAGACAGUAUGCUUUCAAGCUGCCUGUGAAUUAGUGCAACACAGUAGAGAGGAACAUAUCUAAGGGAAACCAAAUAAAGCAGAAUUCAUCUUGUAAUCUAUACACUAAAGGCAAAGGGAGCCACAAAGGCAACAUUGUGUCACUGCUACCUGUUUCAAUAGAAGGUGAGACGUUAGAAACUAAUAAAUACGCUGAUAUAAAAUGAAGUGAGUAUACAGGAAAACCUAUCUUCUAACAACAGAAGUGUGCUAGGGAUUUCUAGAAUCCAUUAGAAAGAGGUAUCAUCCCUAUAUUUGAGAACAAUAGCAUUUACCAGUUUUUACUAUCGUCAUGAACACACAUUUGAUGGCAUUUAGAGUCUGCAGAACACAGAAUAAUGUUUGUCUAAUGUAAAAGAUGUUUCUAAUCUCCAUUUGAUGCAACUAUAUACACCCAGAGAAGCCAUAGACACUUGAGAAGCAUAGGCUGGCAAGAAAAAAAAAAGGGAGUUUUGUACAUAUAAGAAAAGCUCAGAAAUCUCUAGCCAGCAACCCUUUCUUCCCAGGAAAAAUUUAACAGACUGACUCCGUGUCAGGGUACCACAUAUUACAAAGCCUAUAAAGCUGUUUUGUGUCUCCUGGCAUGAGUUCCAGGAAAAAAGUCCAUAAGCAUUUGAGCAAAAAGUGGCCUGCUGAUGUGUUGAAAAUACAAAGGUUUGGUCUUAUUGUUCUUGUGCAUAUCAAUUGUAGCACAUUAAAAGCAGUUCAGCACUAUUUGAAAUUGAUUAACUUCUUCAUCAUGCACUACAGACAGAUGCAUUUACAGACAUGUGAGAUUUCUAGCUAUCUCCACCUUGUACAGAUAUAUCUCACCUACAGCCCAGUGAUAAAUGCAUUUACCUGAAACUGAAGGCACCCACAGGGAUUAUAACCACAAUGCUGAAGUCAAAAAAACAAUUAUUUUCACAGUCCUGAGCUCAUGAAGUAGUCUGAAAGAUCAAGAGAAAUGUUAAAUAUCAUUUUAAUACUAAGGCAAAAGCAAUUCAUAUUCCCCAGAAAGUCAACUUAAGCAUAUACAAGAGCCUAACUAGAAGUGAUGAAAUAUGGAGUGGGAAAUGGAACCAGAAAGUCUUCCUCAUCUACUGGUCACUGCAAUAAUGUGUUCUAUGAAGAGUGGAUUCUGAGUGAAGGAACAGAAACAUCAACCAUUUCAACUGGUUUUGUACAGAGGUCAUUGUGUUAGGAGUUGUACAAAAAAAACAAAACAGGUGGUCUCUUCCUACUGAACUCCAUUUUAUAGCUGUGUGUGCAUGGAGAUAUAAGUUAACUUAUACAUAUGUGUGUCUGUAGUCAUAUGGGAAUGAUAGCGUAGUAUGGCUGAAGCCCACAAACAAAAGGAGAGCACAAGGCAAUGAUACAGAUAUGGCAAAAGAGAUAAGCAUUUUAAGAUGUAUCACACCAGUUCUCUGGCUGUUGACAGUUUUCUUGAUGGUCACCUAAACAUAAAGAUCGUAAUUAUGGUGAUCUCAUAUAGAGUAUACUGUAGUAAUCCACAUCUGAAAGAAGGCUGCAUGUUUCUUGCCCAGCAAUAAAAUAACCUCAUCCAUAGUACAAAAAGAUGAGGUGACUUGACCAUAUAGAUCAUACAAAAAUAUGAUAUUAACAUAGGGGCUUGUAACACCACACUUGUCUACUGCAUUUCUUCAAAAGUCUUUCCACUUCAAUCCUGUUUAAAAAAAAUGCAAGUCAUUUACCUAUCUAUUGCUUUGUAUCUGCUGUCAAGCAUCACUCUGCUUACAGAGAUUUUAAAAUGGAUGCCUAAGAGAAACUGUGUCAUAAUUUCGCUCUGUCACAUAAUAGGGCAAAAGAGGUAUGUGCUAUCAAGGAUGGGGAAUUUUUCUGUGUGCUGUGUUGCACACUGCAUUAAUUCAAGCAAUUGAAUUUUCAGAGUUUUCUUGUGCUAACAGAGAAAUGUGAAAACACACUGCCUAAUGAAGAGAAAGACUGCAUGCAUUUUAGCAAUUCAGGCUUUACAAUUCAUAUCAAAUUUACUUCAAAUUUUAAAGUUGAAACAUUUUAAGCAAUUGAAAAUAUUUAAGGCAUUUUCAAAAUAAAAGCAACUUCAAUAAUAUGAGCAAAGUUAAUAGGUUCAAUAAUAUGAGCAAAGUUAAUAAAGUUAACCUAGGAUUUCCUAGGUUUCAAUGUUUUUGUCAUACCACAGCAAACAAUUCAAGGUAAAUGAAUAACCUAGAUAACUAAAUCGUGCUAGUCAUCAUUAAAAAGGAAAGAACAAAGAACUGCAAGCUGAAGUGAGAGUGAGACUGAAACAAAGGAAAGAAAGAGAAAACUACAUUUGAAAAGAAAAAAUAAAAUGUGGUAUUGUGUGGAUUAGAUACAUUCUAUUUUUCUCUCAGUGUUUUAUCUUUUUUUAUCUGGUUUAUCAGUGCAUGAGUCACUUUCUUCAAACCUUUGUUUUCCAAUGUCCUUAACUUUAUCUUGCUUUUGUCUUGAAAUUGGACUGCUACUAUUUCACAUGACAAAGUUUCUGUUUAUGUGAUAGUCUAUUACUUGGCUGUGGGCAAUUUUUGUCCUUCUAAUUUAAAAAUACUAUUUUCCUUCUACCCUCGCC
Molecule: long non-coding RNA, 7015 nt
Organism: Taeniopygia guttata (zebra finch)
Lineage: Eukaryota; Metazoa; Chordata; Aves; Passeriformes; Estrildidae
Source: Ensembl